AAUGAACGCUGGCGGCGCGCCUAAUACAUGCAAGUCGAGCGAGAAGACGUAGCAAUACGUUUGUAAAGCGGCGAACGGGUGAGGAAUACAUGGGUAACCUACCCUAGAGUGGGGAAUAACUAGCCGAAAGGUUAGCUAAUACCGCGUACGCUCCUUGGACUUCGGUUCAGGGAGGAAAGCAAUGCCGAGGGUAUCGCGCUCUUGGAUGGGCUCAUGUCCUAUCAGCUUGUUGGGAGGUAACGGCUCACCAAGGCUUCGACGGGUAGCUGGUCUGAGAGGACGAUCAGCCACACUGGCACUGCGACACGGGCCAGACUCCUACGGGAGGCAGCAGUAAGGAAUAUUGCGCAAUGGGCGAAAGCCUGACGCAGCGACGCCGC
This 380-nucleotide ribosomal RNA is filed under the name uncultured bacterium. RNAcentral describes it as "bacterial SSU rRNA". It matches the Rfam family "Bacterial small subunit ribosomal RNA", at positions 29 to 400 of the family's 1533-position model. The record is from RNAcentral.